This 253-nucleotide ribosomal RNA is filed under the name uncultured bacterium. RNAcentral's name for it is "partial 16S ribosomal RNA". It matches the Rfam family "Bacterial small subunit ribosomal RNA", at positions 524 to 776 of the family's 1533-position model. The record is from RNAcentral.
UACAGAGGUCUCAAGCGUUGUUCGGAUUCAUUGGGCGUAAAGGGUGCGUAGGCGGCGCGGUAAGUCGGAUGUGAAAUCUUGGAGCUUAACUCCGAAACUGCAUUCGAUACUGCCGUGCUUGAGGACUGGAGAGGAGACUGGAAUUUACGGUGUAGCGGUGAAAUGCGUAGAUAUCGUAAGGAAGACCAGUGGCGAAGGCGGGUCUCUGGGCCGAUACUGACGCUGAGGAGCGAAAGCGUGGGGAGCGAACAGG